GUCCAGUUGAUGAGUCCUGAAUAGGAUGAAAUACGUGUCCUGGAU
RNAcentral lists this non-coding RNA (45 nucleotides) under Schistosoma mansoni. Lineage: Eukaryota; Metazoa; Platyhelminthes; Trematoda; Strigeidida; Schistosomatidae. The record is from RNAcentral.